Molecule: long non-coding RNA, 5753 nt
Filed under: Capsicum annuum
Lineage: Eukaryota; Viridiplantae; Streptophyta; Magnoliopsida; Solanales; Solanaceae
Description: long non-coding RNA (CANN_LNC002288)
Source: RNAcentral
UUUAAAGCCAAUCCAUUAUCCCCCAAUUUCAUAGAUAUACAUAAAUGACAUAAAUGCCUACAAAAGUUGCACCAAAGGGAUAAGACCUUUAGGGAAAGGGAAAUAACAUGAAAAAGAAUGAUGUCCCACACAGGGGAUAGAAAAUACUAAUUCCUGAAUGCUUCUUCUAUCGGCCUUCGCCCUUUUACCUUUGUCCACUUCUCGUUAUUGUCAACAUCCGUUAAUGAUCAAGCGAUUGUUGUAUAAUUGUACUAUAGAUGCCAUGCAACUGUCCAAAUCGAUCAAUUUCUUGCUUGUCUUGUUCAAUUCCUUCCUCAAUUGAUGUACGAUUGAGAAAUCCUUACACGAAAGUAAGUAAAGCAAGCCUUCUCCCGAUCCCACAAAUGAUAAUGGAUUGGAUUAAACAUACUGAUACGGGACAAACAAGGGAACACGAAAAUUAGUCCAAAAAGCAGUCCACAAAAUGGAAGAAAUCCGUGAACCCUUUUGGAGACCAAGUCUCGGCUUCCUAAGAACACAAUAACAAGAAGAUAACAAGGUGUUUAUUACACCAAAUCAGCGGACAACAAACUAUAUUAACAACAUAAGAUGAUGAACAAGAAGACACAAGAUUCAGAUUUAACAAUAACAACAAGAACACAAGAUUACAACACAAACACUAAACAAGAUUACAAGAAGGUAAAAUGAUAGAUAGAUAAACCACAUUAAGGUAUAAUCUUAAGAACCCAAGAAUGGACACUCUUGGACCCUUAAAACUACACACAACAAUAAACCUAUCUCUUACAUGACACAAGAUCGAAUUUCACCUCUCUAGCAUCAACGCUUCCAAGAAAGCAACAACAAAAGAGUAUCCUAGUUUCAGUGGUCACUCUUCUCACUAGAGAGAGAGCUUGUUACAAGUCUUCCAAAACUCCCAAAUAUCAUCCAAAAACUAAACUAAAAACCCUACAAUGUUCCUUUUAUAGCUAUAAAAAAUAUAAGUUAAAAUGACCAAAAGGCCCUUCAAAGAGUGGGCACCCAUCUAGUGUAAUUUAUGGGCUGAUUUGGGUGCAUUUUGGGCCUCUAUUACACUUCAAUUGCACAUGCCAAGGCUCAGGUCCAACACGCACUCUCCUAAGUCCAUAUCCGUGAUUAUUCCCGUAUCACAUACAUAUAUUUCUUCAACACAAAAAUAUGAUUCACCUGUAAUUGACUCGGGGUCAAUAGACGUAGGGCAAGUUUUCUAAUGGGCCCAAUCCCCCCCUUGGGUAUCGAGUCGUCCUAGGCUCAUGCCUAAAAUAGGAUUUUGGUUUUGCUCUAUCCUAGGUGUCUAGAGUAGGUUUGAACCAAGUUUCCAAGCGGGCGACUUGUGUUUGGAAAUAUGAUGACUCAUGUGCUAAUAAACGUUCGUAUUUCAACCACUUUAUUUGAAAUUGAACAACAGGGGCUGGGACAUCUACGAAAUCCCAAAAUAGUUUAUAAAUAGAUGCAGGAAUAUGUUAUAAGAUGCAAUAAUUAAUUAUCGUAAAAUUGAAACAUAUAAACACGUAAACAGUUAAUCAAAAGACGAAAUCAAACAUUUGGUUAGAACCUAGUUAACUAGUCCCCAGCAGAGUCGUCAUUUUUGUUUUGCAAAAAUUUGACUUUCAAAGUCGCCACUUAAUUUAUUUGAAAAAGAAUUAAGAAAACCUUUGAAAGUUACCUAAAUGAACCAAAACAAAUAAUCAUUUACGUUAGAAGAUUCUGAGUAAGUGGCUCCUAUUAAUACUCUUGGAAGGUUGUUAAGGCACCAAGAGUAUCCGCUAACUGGCGGUUAUCCAAACUAUUUUAAAAACAUCUUUUGACUAACUUCAAAACGAUUGAUUUGUUGAAAAGUGAUUGAAUUUUUUGAAAUGGCUUGUAUAAAAUAGUUUUGGGUGACUUAGUUGGGAUUUUAACUAAAACUAAACAAAUUAAUAAGCAAGUAAACACAUAAAAGGAGAAAAGGAGGAGAAAGUGAAAGAUUUAGGCCAUUAUGCCCAAAUCAACGAGACAUGUCCUAGUCUAAUUGAGCUUUCGGCCUAUUUCACCUGUCCUAAUUUAAUUUUCGAGCCUUUAGCUCGAGUCUUGCUCCACCUUUAUUAAAUUUACAACUUUGUCUUCGAGACCCAAAAUGAAUAAAUAAUAAAAGAAAUAAAUAAAGACAAUAAUAAAUGACUAAAUAUAUAAACACAUAAACAAAUAAAUGAAAAACGGGACUUUCAAGUCGACUUUAACCCAUUCUUCUUCUUUCGACUCCUUGUAUUCAUUUGUCAUGCGAUCAAUGUUGGAUUGAGUUUUGAGGAUAUAGGCUCCAUUGGCCCCUUCAAAACAUGUGCAACAGGAGGGAGUCCCUUGUGGACUCCGAAUGGAUGACAUACAAACGAAAAAGAGAAGGAAGGAUUAGAGUCUAUUCUAUAUCCAAAUCACUGAUUUAGUACCAAAUAGAAUAAGACAAAUUUAUAUAUAUAUAUAUAUAUUCAAAGAAUAAUUUCAAGAAAACUAAAUUAGAUCUUUAUUCGAGCAGGGCCGACUAAAAGUAGAACAACACAAUAUCAAGUUAUCUUAAAGUAGAACAACACAAUAUCAAAUUAUCUUUGGGGAAACUUUAAUUCGUGAGGCUAAUAAGGGUACAGUCAAUUACAAGUCUUGAACCUCUUGAGAAAAUAAUUAGAAUCAAGCAUCUUUAGAUACAAAAAAGAGCAAUUUUAUGGACCGAGUUCUAUCACAACAAACCCAGCUAGUAGGUACAGACAAUAUUCCCACACAUAGGGGUGUACAUAGGUCGGGUUGGUUUGAUUUUCUAUUGAAAAAAAAUAACUAAUUAUGUCGGUUUAUUAAAACUAUAAACCAAAUCAAACCAACAUAAAAUCGGUUUUUCCGGUUUAAGUUUUAGUCGGUUCUUUCAUUUUUUCUCGGUUUUUUCAAUUUUUUUCGAGUUUUUUUAUAAUCUUUAUUUUUUACAAUUAUAUUGUGACGAUUGAAGUUUAAAUCAAGUAUGUUUUCAUUCAUGUGCUAAUGAAAAACCACAAUUAUGAAAAAUUGAGGGCGGAAAACUCUCUUGACACUAAAAAAUAAGAUGAAGAGUGAAACGUUUAGGUUUUAAAUUUAUAUUGGAUUUUGGAUCAUUUUAUUAGCAAAAUGCAAAUAUAAACAUAUACACAUAUAUAUAUGUUUUACCACUACAAAUUUCAAGUGGUUGAUGAAUCAUUACUUUUGCGUUUGUCAUAUAAUACCUUUUUCCCUUGUUGCCACAUGCUAAGAGAAACGAAUCAAUUUGAACCAUAUUGGUGUUACGAUUAUUUUUCUCUUUUUUUUUAUAUUUAAAAUAUUUUCUUAUUUUUAAAGUCAAAUCUUUACAAAAUCAUUGUUACAUUCCUAUUACGUACUUAAAGCUUUUAAAAAUCUGGUACUUCUUAAUUUUUCUUAUUCUAAUAGUUUUAUAUUUAUCUCUAAUUUUUUAAAUCUUUUUAAAAUCAAAUUUAGUUGACUUAGAAUUCUUAAACUGGUGGAAAAAGUAUUAGUUGUCAUUAAUUUUGAUGACUUCUAAUAAAGAAAGAUUUUACCGUAAAUAUAUUUAAUUAAUUUUUAACUUUUAAAUUAGAAAAAAAAAAUUAAAAUUCCCAUGACUUCUAAUAAGGAAAGGUUUUACCAUAAAUAUAUUUAAUUAAUUUUUAACUCUUAAAUAUUAAAAAAAAUAGUCAAAAGACGAUUUUGUCUAAAACAAAGACUUUUAAUGAAGGGCAAAAAGUUCAAACAAUAUUUCUAAUGCCCUUCACACUUUUAAUAUAUUAUAGAUUACAGAUAUAUACAUCUACUUUUUAAAUAUUGAAAAUUAAUAAAACUAAUUGAAAAAUUAUUUAAAAAGUAGAUUAUAAUUAAUAUUUUAUGUAUUCGGUUUGACUUUUUUUUUGUUAACACUAAACCAAACCAAGAAUGGUCGUUUUUUUUCAAACGCCUAACCAACCAAACCAAACCAUAAGUCGGUUUUUUUUCUCGGUUUGAUUUGGUUCUUCGAUUUGGUUUGAUUUGACGGUUUGGUUUGUACACCCCUACCUACACAGAGACAACCCCAAAGGACAACAAACACUCUCAGGUAAUGUGAGAUGGAAUCUGGGAAUGUGAUUUUUGAACCAAUCAUGCAAAUAAACUAAAUUUCAAAAAUUAACAAGUAAUAAAUAUUCAAAUGAAAACUCUUUAGACCAACAUCUCCCUCUUCUUUGGCAAGUCACAAAGAAUCGUGAGUCCAGCGUUCACCGGGGAAUUUGGACAAUAGUUUACUCGAAGUAAAGACUAGAGAAGCCCCACAAAUUCUGAGUAAAAUAGGUGAACCAGGAAGAUUAACUAGAAAUCCAGUAAAGGUAACUUCUACCCAACAAAUUCAAUGAACGAAACCUUAACUAGGACAGUCAAAUAGAAGAGAUAGCGAUUAAGAGAGUUUUUAAUAAGACAAGGAGUUCAACAAUAAAGCUGGGAUUAACACAUAUUCAAUUGGUACGACGGACAGUAAAUCAGAUGGCAUUCAAGUUAAAGAAAACCCAAGGCAGCAUAAUGAGUUAACGUGGAAAAUCUUGAAACUAAAAGAAAUAAUAAUAAUACUAAGAUUAGCAUAACAAUUCUCUUGUAAGCAAAAUCAUAAUAAAGUCACGAACUUUUUGCGCAAACAGUCAAGACAGUGAAUUAAACAUGACCAGAAUACCCACACCACGUAAUAACGGAUACAAUCAUCGUCACAAGAAUUCUAGGGCCUUCACGGCAUCUCUAUAGCUAAUAACGCCAUAAACAGAUCAAUGACAAGAGAAAAACAUCGAAACUAAACCUAACAGAUCAAUGACAAGACAAAAACGUCGAAACUAAAACUAACAGAUUAAUGACAAGGAGAAAACAUCAAAACUAAAAAGGAUGAUGUAUUUACCUCUUUCAGAACAACAAAACGGGACCUCAAACUACGUCGGAAUCAGCCGCCACCGAAACAAGUCGUCAUCGUCGGUUCGGAAACUCUAAUUACUAACCAAAUUCCCAAAGAAAAAUAGAAAAUUUUAGCUAAAAGAACUAUAUUUUGUCCUUUGCUCGAAGGCCCUCUUUUCCCUUUUUCAGGACCCCUCUUUUUUCUCUCAAGAGAGCUGUUUAGAGAAGAUCCCCCCUUCAGAAAAAUAUCCCCCAAAAAAUAUCCCCCCAAAAAUCCCUUUUCUUGCUCUAAAGAGAUCUAUAUAGAGAGAACAGAAAAAAAAAACCCUUUCAAAAGUUGCUCCACCGAUGUGGGAUAAAGUCAUUCAGGGGAAAAUUGGGGAAUUCCUUAAGAAGGAAUUCAAAAUUUGAACUCUAGAUCAGUUUCCCCUAACAAAAUUGUACCAAUUUUGUUGUUUUUUGAGGGAAUUCAUUGGGGGUUGGCCAAUAGAAUUUUUUGUAAAACAAAUUCCCUCAAGAAACAAUAGAAAUUCACCAAAUAAGUACGGAAUAAUACCAUCGUGGCCGAGAUUCGCGCAAUUAGCCGUUAUGGUACGUGAGCUGUCCAAUUUCUAGAAAUUUCAUUGAAGAAACGAAUUGAAUUCGCGGGUCGAACCCAGAUUCGGGUUUGUUGGGUUCGCGGGUCUGGCGAUUUGGAGCAUAUCGUCUUCAUUGGUGUUCGUUAGUCGCGAUUUUGGGCUAUUUUUUGUAUUGGUGGUGCUGCUGGGUUUGAUAUUUUUGUCGUGGUUUUUUCAAUUGUUGUACGUUGAUGUGUUGUUAUGGUUGAAGAAAGCAUAAAGUGGGCCAGG